CGUAGGGGGCAAGCGUUGUCCGGAAUCAUUGGGCGUAAAGAGCGUGUAGGCGGCCCGAUAAGUCCGCUGUGAAAGUCCAGGGCUCAACCCUGGAAUGCCGGUGGAUACUGUCGGGCUCGAGUCCGGAAGAGGUGAGUGGAAUUCCUGGUGUAGCGGUGAAAUGCGCAGAUACCAGGAGGAACACCAAUGGCGAAGGCAGCUCACUGGGACGGUACUGACGCUGAGACGCGAAAGCGUGGGGAGCAAACAGGAUUAGAUACCCUGGUAGUCCACGCCGUAAACGAUGGUCACUAGGUGUGGGGGGUGUCGACUCCCUCCGUGCCGGAGCUAACGCAUUAAGUGACCCGCCUGGGGAGUACGGCCGCAAGGCUA
This 372-nucleotide ribosomal RNA is filed under the name uncultured organism. RNAcentral describes it as "bacterial SSU rRNA". It matches the Rfam family "Bacterial small subunit ribosomal RNA", at positions 526 to 896 of the family's 1533-position model. The record is from RNAcentral.